CUCAUGGUAUCAUCCUGCGGUAAUAAGAAUCUCAUCCUGCGAUGUCGCCUCUCACUCUCUUGAGUCUCUUGUCUAGUGCCCGAUCCACCUCCACUUGGAGCUCCACCUCACUCUAGGCUCCUCCUGGCUCCUGAAGCUCUACCUCAUAUUGGGCUCCCCAUCAUGUAGUAAUAUCCUCUCAUCCUCUUCUUCCCCUGCAGAAUAAUCCUAUCACUGUGCAACACCUUCAUGAUUCCUCCACCAGCUAUCGUCCUGUAGCCUCUCGAAUCCAGUCUGCUUAGUGAGAUAAAAUUCCAUCAGAAAGCAGAUAUGUAUCGGAUCUCCCCCAAUCUCCUCACUACACCAUCAUGUGUCCUCUAG
RNAcentral lists this long non-coding RNA (360 nucleotides) under Elaeis guineensis (African oil palm). RNAcentral's name for it is "long non-coding RNA (EGUI_LNC076682)". Lineage: Eukaryota; Viridiplantae; Streptophyta; Magnoliopsida; Arecales; Arecaceae. The record is from RNAcentral.